This 354-nucleotide unclassified non-coding RNA is filed under the name soil metagenome. Its description in RNAcentral is "partial contains 5.8S ribosomal RNA, internal transcribed spacer 2, and large subunit ribosomal RNA". The stretch from base 1 to 120 matches the Rfam family "5.8S ribosomal RNA", at positions 35 to 154 of the family's 154-position model. The record is from RNAcentral.
GAUGAAGAACGCAGCGAAACGCGAUAUGUAAUGUGAAUUGCAGAAUUCAGUGAAUCAUCGAAUCUUUGAACGCACAUGGCGCCUUCCAGUAUCCUGGGAGGCAUGCCUGUCCGAGCGUCGUUUCAACCCUCGAGCCCCCGUGGCCCGGCGUUGGGGAUCUGCCCAGGCAGUCCCCGAAAACCAGUGGCGGACCCGUUACAGGCCCUUCCCUUGCGUAGUAGCAUUCGCCUCGCAUCGGGAGCCGGCGGGCUUCCAGCCUCUAAACCCCCAUCAAGGCCGCCCCGGCGGCACCAAGGUUGACCUCGGAUCAGGUAGGAAUACCCGCUGAACUUAAGCAUAUCAAUAAGCGGAGGA